GAUGAACGCUGGCGGCGUGCCUAAUACAUGCAAGUCGAGCGAACGGACGAGAAGCUUGCUUCUCUGAUGUUAGCGGCGGACGGGUGAGUAACACGUGGAUAACCUACCUAUAAGACUGGGAUAACUUCGGGAAACCGGAGCUAAUACCGGAUAAUAUUUUGAUCCGCAUGGUUCAAAAGUGAAAGACGGUCUUGCGGUCACUUAUAGAUGGAUCCGCGCUGCAUUAGCUAGUUGGUAAGUUAACGGCUUACCAAGGCAACGAUGCAUAGCCGACCUGAGAGAGUGAUCGGCCACACUGGAACUGGGACACGGUCCAGAGUCCUACGAGAGGCAGCAGUAGGGUAUCUUCCGCAAUAGGCGAAAGCCUGACGGAGCAACGCCGCGUGAGUGAUGAAGGUCUUCGGAUCGUAAAAAUCUGUUAUUAGGGAAGAACAUAUGUGUAAGUAACUGUGCACAUCUUGACGGUACCUAAUCAGAAAGCCACGGCUAACUACGUG
This 497-nucleotide ribosomal RNA is filed under the name uncultured bacterium. RNAcentral's name for it is "partial 16S ribosomal RNA". It matches the Rfam family "Bacterial small subunit ribosomal RNA", at positions 28 to 507 of the family's 1533-position model. The record is from RNAcentral.